This 2638-nucleotide unclassified non-coding RNA is filed under the name Drosophila mojavensis. RNAcentral describes it as "GI20747". The record is from RNAcentral. Lineage: Eukaryota; Metazoa; Arthropoda; Insecta; Diptera; Drosophilidae.
GCAGUAUUGCGCGGGGCUGACGGGGAUGAGUUACCAAAUAAAGUUGUUUCAGAAACCGUCAAAGAUGUACCUAAAAACAAAGAUAAACAACUGCGCACCAGAGGCAUGUUUUGAUGAAAAUAACGUAUUUUGGCUGGGAUUAUCAAGGGUUUGCUUGUCAGGAGGACUCCGCUGAUACGAUUGAAGGAUAUUUGUUUCGUGCCUUGGAACGCACCUGCCUCAUCGAAUCCCGUGCUACUUCCAACUACCAUCGAUGCGGUCGCACCGACAAGGAAGUGAGCGCCUUCUGCCAAGUGAUAUCAAUUAAUUUGCGUAGCAAGCACUCACCCGAUACUCAAAUGAAGCCAGAGUCGCUAAACACUGAAAUAGAUUAUUGCAGUCUGCUAAAUCGGGUGCUGCCCAAAAAUAUUCAAUGCGUAUCCUGGAUGCCGUUGCGAAAUCCCGACUACAGCGCUCGAUUUGAUUGUAUUUCACGCACCUAUCGCUACUAUUUUCCCAAGGGCGAUCUGGACAUUGACUCAAUGCAACAGGCCUGUCAGUUACUCGUCUGCCAUGGAGACUUUAGGAAUUUUUGUAAAAUGGAUGUGCAUAAUGGCGUAACGAAUUACAUGCGUAAUUUGCAGCACGCAGAGAUAAGGCCAUGUGACAAUACAGAACGCCAGUUAGAGCAAAACUCAGGCUAUAUUAUGUAUUAUCUGGAGAUAAAAGCAAAUGCUUUCCUAUGGCAUCAAAUACGAUGCAUCAUGGCUGUGCUGCUGCUAGUUGGACAAAAGAACGAGCAGCCAUCCAUAAUCACUAAAUUACUCGAUGUGGGUAGCAAUCCUUGUAAGCCCCAGUAUACGCCUGCUAUUGGGCUACCACUGAAUCUGUUCCAUUGUGAAUUUCGAUCGCACAGCACGCGUCAAUCGAAUCUUCCAAAUUUAUCACAGAUUGCGAUUGUGGAAAGCGAAAGCGAAAGCCAAAGUGAUCUAACCAAUUGGGUUUACAGUGAGGAGAAUCUACAGAAGCUGAUCGAGAACGUGCAGAGUGAGUGGACGCAGUUCAGUGUCAAGUGCACCAUGAUACGCAAUGUCUUAGUGCAACUGGAGGCACUCCUUGAGCAGAACUUCAAAACACCGCAGAUUCAAGCACAGGCCAUGCUGCUGCAGGAUGCGGCCAAGCCGCGCCAGUAUCAACCAUUGCUGCAGCGCAAACGAUGUGAGAGCUUGGAAAAUCGCAUUGACCAUUUUGUGAAAAAGCAACGACUGCUUGUAAAAAGCGACACAACGACGGAGACGAGUAAAAGUGAAACUGCUGAAUAUUAAUGAAUUUACUACAGCUUGAUGUGAUUUCGUUGUGGUGCUCAGAUUUGCUGGCUUGUUCCCGUAUGGCUGCAAAUCCAAUCAGUUAUAUCAUCCACUCUUCAUGGCAAACAAACCGCAACGUUUCAGUGCAUGUCACAUACGGAGUCUUGCAUUGCGAAUCAUCAGUCAAAUGGAUCACAUAAUGCCACGCUUUGUCACACUUGGUCGCUUAUGGGAUUUAGGGCCCCUAACCGAAACCACAGUCCAGACCAUAAAAGUACCAACCCAGACCUACCCAGAGGCAGCCCCCGUGCGCUUUGGAUCGCAUUACGUACAGUGGAGCCUGGGCCUGGCUACAGAGUGUAAAAAGUAUACGAAAGACUGGGUUCGAAGUGAGUGCUUAAAGUUUGCUGUCUGAGUUAUGUUUGUGCCACGCUUUUUGGACGAAUUGUCCACUGUGCGGACCGAAAACGGGUCAAUACGGUAUUUCAGGGCGUGCUUUAUUUCUUUAUACAUAAACACACACCAUGCCCACUUUCGAGUAUCGAUGACAAUCGCGAGUGCUUGAUGAUGCGUUGACACAUGCGGAAAUCUUUUCAUUCAGCGAACCAAAUAACUCGAACUGAAUCGAAUUGAUUUUAUAUAUUGUAUGUUGAAUGCCCAUUGAACUGGCUGCAAAUAACUGAACUAGUUCCGCGAAGUCUUUGUUAUUUUUAAAGGAAUUGUCUGAUUGGCUGCAAUCUGCUCUUAUACUUACGCAUACAUGUACAUCUGCAUGCUAAUAAUUACGUAAGUUAGAGCGAGAUGACCUAAUUAGCAUACGUGAAUGUGGGGUGGGUUUUGUAAGCUGUAAAGAGUUGCUGUAUUGUCUACGUAGAUAUGUGUGCGUAUUUAUAUGUGUAUGUGCGCGUGUGUGCUUCUAUUUUGCCUUGCUUUCUUUUUUUUUUGCUAUCUUUAGUUGACAAUUUCCGUAUAAUUCAAAUAUAAUUGAUUUAUAUUGAUAUACGACUGUUAAGAUAUCAGCUGUUUUCACACGCUUUUUUGUUGGAGCACCAAUUAAAUAGCAAUAAAAAGUUAGCCACUUACUAUCGCAAUCUAAUUUAUACACAUAAGUCUCUAAUAGAGUGUGAAAGAGAGCGAGCGGGAAGGGGAAGAGACUCUGUUAUUUAUUAGAGAUGGGACACGGUAAGCUGUCGACAUGCGUCCAUAUAAAAGGCAUCAUAAAUAUAGAUAAAGAUGCCAUUCCACUAGGGUGGCAGCAUUUAAAAAUCAAUUUCAGCGCAUUUAAGGCUUUGGGGCUUGUCGUCUAUUUCGGUCGCUUGUUUGCUUUUAGUCUUGGGUUCGGGUAGGGGUCG